RNAcentral lists this long non-coding RNA (677 nucleotides) under Ananas comosus (pineapple). RNAcentral's name for it is "long non-coding RNA (ACOM_LNC006178)". Lineage: Eukaryota; Viridiplantae; Streptophyta; Magnoliopsida; Poales; Bromeliaceae. The record is from RNAcentral.
AAAGGUUUUAGAAUAAAAAUUUAGGUUAAAUUAGAGAAAAUUUUUCUAUCAAAAUUUGCUUUUUUAUUUUUUCUCUCCAACUUUUAAACUUUUAUAUUUUGCCCACUUAAAAAUUAAAAAAUAUUUAUUUUGUUUCUCGCUGUCAGGAUUCUAUUAAGGUUCCAUCCAUUUUCUAUUAUCAUAUAUUUUUUAUAUCCAAAAUACCUAUCUACCUCUCUCUGCAGCCUCCUCCUCCUUCCUUUGCUGAGGUCCUCGGCAGCAUACCUCGCUUCUCGCCUCCCUUCGCAGCAGUUUAAGUUCCCUACCCACACCCACGCCCUCGCUCUCCUCUACUACCUCGCCGUCGUCUACCUCUCAGUACGCGCUUAUUCCAAUCUUGUGCCCCACUGUCGCAGGAGAAAGGGUUGCAGACGAGGACAAGUUGGGGAGAAGACGAAAAAGAUGAGUACAUUUUGGUCUUUUUUCAUUAUAAUUAACACCAUACCUCCUGUGAACAUUUUUUAAUUUUCGAGAUGGCAAAAUAAAAAUUUUUAAAAGUUGGAAAAAAAAAGUGAAAAAAUGGAUUUUGACGUAAGGGUUUACUGUAAUUUAGCCUGAAAUUUAAGUAUUUUAUAAGAUAUCACUAGAAUUAGUUUCCUACUCAAUUAUUUUAAAUUUAAAUUUUCAUUACAUCAAAU